AGAGUUUGAUCCUGGCUCAGGACGAACGCUGGCGGUAUGCUUAACACAUGCAAGUCGAACGAGACAAAAGAGAAGUGCUUGCACGGAUCUUUUAGAAAGUGGCGAACGGGUGAGUAACGCGUGGGUAACCUACCCUAUGGAAAGGAAUAGCCUCGGGAAACUGGGAGUAAUGCCUUAUAAGAUAUAUUUGUCGCAUGGCAGAUGUAUUAAACGCUCCGGUGCCAUAGGAUGGACCCGCGUCCCAUUAGCUAGUUGGUGAGAUAACAGCUCACCAAGGCGACGAUGGGUAACCGGUCUGAGAGGGCGAACGGUCACACUGGAACUGAGACACGGUCCAGACUCCUACGGGAGGGCAGCAGUGGGGAAUAUUUGCGCAAUGGGGGAAACCCUGACGCAGCAAUACCGCGUGAGUGAAGAAAGGUUUUCGGAUCGUAAAGCUCUGUUAUUGGGGGAAGUAAAAAAGACGGUACCCAAGAAAGAAAAGUCCCGGCUAACUACGUGCCAGCAGCCGCGGUAAUACGUAGGGGACAAGCGUUGUCCGGAUUUACUGGGCGUAAAGGGCACGCAGGCGGUUUUUUAAGUCAGAUGUGAAAGGUACCGGCUCAACCGGUGACAUGCAUUUUGAAACUGAAAGACUUGAGUAUUGGAGAGGCAAGUGGAAUUCCUAGUGUAGCGGUGAAAUGCGUAGAUAUUAGAGGAACACCGGUGGCGAAAGCGGCUUGCUGGACAAAUACUGACGCUGAGUGCGAAAGCGUGGGGAGCAAACAGGAUUAGAUACCCUGGUAGUCACGCCGUAAACGAUGAUUGCUAAGGUUGUUGGGGAGACUCAGUGCCGCAGCUAACGCA
This 846-nucleotide ribosomal RNA is filed under the name uncultured bacterium. RNAcentral describes it as "bacterial SSU rRNA". It matches the Rfam family "Bacterial small subunit ribosomal RNA", at positions 8 to 859 of the family's 1533-position model. The record is from RNAcentral.